Molecule: microRNA, 22 nt
Filed under: Columba livia (rock pigeon)
Lineage: Eukaryota; Metazoa; Chordata; Aves; Columbiformes; Columbidae
Also listed under: 2 other names
Description: cli-miR-1784-5p
Source: miRBase by way of RNAcentral
UUCUGCUCUUAUUGAAAUCAGU